AUUGAACGCUGGCGGCAGGCCUAACACAUGCAAGUCGAGCGAGCGGCGGACGGGUGAGUAAUGUCUGGGAAACUGCCUGAUGGAGGGGGAUAACUACUGGAAACGGUAGCUAAUACCGCAUACCAUCAGAUGUGCCCAGAUGGGAUUAGCUAGUAGGUGGGGGAACGGCUUACCAAGGCGACGAUCCAUAGCUGAUCUGAGAGGAUGACCAGCCACACUGGAACUGAGACACGGUCCAGACUCCUACGGUAGGCAGCAGUAGGGAAUAUUUCACAAUGGGCGAAAGCCUGACGUAGCCAUGCCGCGUGAGUGAUGAAGGCCUGCGGGUUGUAAAGCACUUUUAGUGGGGAAGCGUUACCUACAGAAUAAGCACCGGCUAACUCCGUGCCAGCAGCCGCGGUAAUUC
Molecule: ribosomal RNA, 406 nt
Filed under: uncultured bacterium
Lineage: Bacteria
Description: partial 16S ribosomal RNA
Rfam family: Bacterial small subunit ribosomal RNA
Source: RNAcentral